GACGAACGCUGGCGGCGUGCCUAAUACAUGCAAGUAGAACGCUGAAACUUGGUGCUUGCACCGAGCGGAUGAGUUGCGAACGGGUGAGUAACGCGUAGGUAACCUGCCUGGUAGCGGGGGAUAACUAUUGGAAACGAUAGCUAAUACCGCAUAAGAGUAGAUGUUGCAUGACAUUUGCUUAAAAGGUGCAAUUGCACCACUACCAGAUGGACCUGCGUUGUAUUAGCUAGUUGGUGGGGUAACGGCUCACCAAGGCGACGAUACAUAGCCGACCUGAGAGGGUGAUCGGCCACACUGGGACUGAGACCCGGCCCAGACUCCUUCGGGAGGCAGCAGUAGGGAAUCUUCGGCAAUGGGCGGAAGUCUGACCGAGCAACGCCGCGUGAGUGAAGAAGGUUGUCGGAUCGUAAAGCUCUGUUGUAAGAGAAGAACGAGUGUGAGAGUGGAAAGUUCACACUGUGACGGUAUCUUACCAGAAAGGGACGGCUAACUACGUG
This 497-nucleotide ribosomal RNA is filed under the name uncultured bacterium. RNAcentral's name for it is "partial 16S ribosomal RNA". It matches the Rfam family "Bacterial small subunit ribosomal RNA", at positions 28 to 507 of the family's 1533-position model. The record is from RNAcentral.